UCACUGACAAUUGGUUUAAAACUGUUUUUAUUACUGUCACUAUUUACCUUCGUAUGAAGAACUUAAAGGACGUAAGUCUAUUUAUGUUUUGUUGAUGAAAUGGAUGCUAUUGUUCAAAAUGUGUUACAAAAAGUAAGAUAACAGCUUCUAUGCUGCUUUGUUUACAGCCUGCUAGGUAAUGCACCACCAAAACCAUGAUCUACCUAUACACAGUAUGUAAAGGGCUGAAUAAAUAAUCUCUACCAGAAGAUUAUUAUCCUACCAGCUUGCUCAUAAUCAUGUUAUCUCAACCUCUCUAUGUACUUUUUAAGUCAUCAAUAACUUUCGGAUGAUAAUCAAGCAAUUAAUUCAUGAUGGCCUAUUAGGUCAAUAAAGCAUUUUUUCCUCAGAUUAACACAGAUAUAUCAGUUGUCAUUU
Molecule: small RNA, 417 nt
Filed under: Spisula solidissima (Atlantic surf clam)
Lineage: Eukaryota; Metazoa; Mollusca; Bivalvia; Venerida; Mactridae
Description: cnRNA160
Source: RNAcentral